GACCUCAGGUGAUCACCCACCUUGGCCUUCCAAAGUUCUGGGAUUACAGGUGUGAGCCACCACGCCCAGCCUUAUUACGUGUAUUAUUUCAUUCAUCAAAAUAUACUAACUGCCUCCUGCGUGUCAGGUGUCUGUGGGGUGCUGUAGGCUUAUGCUUAAAGCUUUCUUCUUUUGUAUUUUAAAACGGUUUCCACAUAGUUAUGAAGAAGACUCCUAAAUAGGAAGGGACUGAGGCUGGAAUCUCAUGACCAACCAGGUAAAAUUACCUUCAAAGUCUGUGUCAAAUCAGUUCUACAUUUCUCUACAUCAGUCUACAUUCUUCUAUUUUAUUCAAAGGGAUAUUAACAAGGAAGAUUAAAUGCUGGCUGAAAGCUCUCAUAUUUGUAUCCAUAGAAAUACAAAUUAUAUAUAAAAUUACAUGAUUACUACCAUUAUCAUGAUUAUGUUCUUAGCCUUUCCGAAUUCCUAUUAUAUGCAAGGCUUCUACUUAACUCCAUGGAUAUAAUGGGCUAUAUAGUCCUUGCCCACAAGAAACUAUUGCCAACACUAAUUUCUUUGCCUUUCAUAGACUGUUUUUUCCCCUGUUAAAUCUUAUCUUAAGUAGCUUUAAAAGAAACUGAAAAAGUUGAAGUGUAAUAUAUAACAUACAGAUAGUAAAGUACAUAAACCUUAAGAGUACAGCUUGAUGAAUGUUUGCAGCGUGAACGCAGUCAUGUAAGUACCACCCAGAGCAAGCCUUAGAAUGUUACCAUGCCUCUCCAGCACUCCCUCCCAGUAGUUACCUGCCUUUCCAAAGGUUACCAUUCUGUGGACUUCUAGAAAAAUAGAUUAAUUCUGCUUGUUUUUGCACUUUGUGCAAAUGCAGUGACAAUGCAGUAUGCACUCUUUCGUGUCUAGUUUCUUUUGCUUCAUUUCUAACUGUGAGAGGCUGGUAUGUUGCUGCAGCUCCUGACAGCUUAGUGCUGUAUGCCACAAUUCAUUUAUCCAUUCUGUUCGUACACGGUGGGUUGUUUCUGGUUUUACUAAUAAAAACAAAGCCUUACUAAUAAAAAUAAAAACAUUCUCAAAUAUGAAAGAUUUAAAUAUUUAAGUGCACACCUGAAAUAAGUGUACAUUUCUGCUGGGUAUAUACCUAUGAAUAGAAUUGCUGAUUGGGUUAUACACAUGUUCAGCCUUCUAAAAACUUCUGAAGUAGUUGCCUCUGUUAACGCUUCCACUAGCAGUACUUAGUAAAUGUUAGUUUCG
Sapajus apella (tufted capuchin) is the source of this 1245-nucleotide long non-coding RNA. RefSeq lists it as uncharacterized. The transcript is spliced from 2 exons. The record is from RefSeq and is a predicted model, not a curated record. Lineage: Eukaryota; Metazoa; Chordata; Mammalia; Primates; Cebidae.